Long non-coding RNA from Physcomitrium patens, 1337 nucleotides. RefSeq lists it as uncharacterized. The record is from RefSeq and is a predicted model, not a curated record. Lineage: Eukaryota; Viridiplantae; Streptophyta; Bryopsida; Funariales; Funariaceae.
UGAGUUUGGUUCGAGCUUUGCCAAAUUGAUGUUCGAGCUUGUUUCCUUGUUUCCCUUGCACUGGAACUGCAUUUCAUGUUGCCGCACUGAUGGGAUCUCGAAUUCCAUUAGCUUAUAUAGCUGUGCAGACCCAUUCUUUACCCGAGGAUUUUCAUGGGCUCCACGUCGAAAAUACUGUGAGCGGGUUCUUGACGAAUGAGCAAAGAUGGCAUAUGCACUGGUAGAUGUUCUGGACCUACUGUCGAGCCACACUAUCAAGGAUGGAGACAUUUUCGUUGCCGAUCGACUUACGCUAAUUAAGCACUUUAUAUUUAUUUAUAAAUGUAUAUAUAUACUUUUGUUGCCUUUUUUUUGUUAAUUUUGGUGAGAAUGCCACUGUUUGUCGCCAGCGCCGCGUUUCUUUGAUUCUCAUGUGUCUCCAACACCUUAAAUUGAUUUCUGAGGCUUAGAUACAAGAGUGGGUAUUUUGCGAAGUCUUCGAUGACAAGCAUUGCAAAAGCCGAUAGGUUUACGAUUAGGUGAUGACAAUGCUUGGAGUGUGUAUGUUCAUGAUUCUGAAUUUACAUUCCGAGUUAUAACAAUACCGGUUCCUUUGCCCAUAGUGCCUGGUCUAUUCCAGAGUCUGUAGCCACAAUAUGCGUAGUUGUAUUAUUAUGGCUUAGAACGUUUGCAUUUUAUUGUCAUGCGCAUCUCACAGGUUUGAGAAAGUACUAGUUUUUCUGCAUAUGAUUGAGGACUGAGGGUGGUAAAAAAAACAGUUAUUGCUUGUGGGAACGAGGAAAUAUUUCUAACAUGUGAUGAACAUCGUGGCAGGGUUGGGGUUUUGUUUAGGUUAGAAUUGAUAGAGAUGGAUGGGUGACAUUUCUUUCUGAAGGAGGGGAUUUGAGGAAAAGGAGGUCUAAAGGUAAAGGGUGGAAGAGAAAGAGAGAUGAGCUUAGACGGGUCGGAGUCACUAGCACCGGCAUUAUCACCAUCAUCCAGUUGUGGUGAUUUUGCAGCUUUGCUUGACGCUGAGCUAUUUGUACAUGAGCAAUCAAUGGCUGACAGGCCGGAAGACGAGGGUUUGGUUAUCUAUGGGAACAUGAGCUCUUCUCCACAUAGGUUCUCAAUUUGAGCGUGUUGCCCUGGCACUUGGGCGAUUUUCACCUGAUAGUUGUCAAUGUUUGUUGUCAGGCAAUAGUACAAGUUAUGUGUAGGUUUUUGGGUUGUUUCUAACGUUUUGUUGUUAACGGGCUAAGCAGACAUUCAACUGGGUUAAGAGUUGGGUUCAUAAGCCUAUGACAAUGGUUAGGAGAGUGCUUGAUUUUUCAUCAACUAUUCUUAAAUUCUUGCAUCCA